CCUGGCGGCUGUAGCGCGGUGGUCCCACCUGACCCCAUGCCGAACUCAGAAGUGAAACGCCGUAGCGCCGAUGGUAGUGUGGGGUCUCCCCAUGUGAGAGUAGGGAACUGC
This 111-nucleotide ribosomal RNA is filed under the name Enterobacter hormaechei. The record is from RNAcentral. Lineage: Bacteria; Pseudomonadati; Pseudomonadota; Gammaproteobacteria; Enterobacterales; Enterobacteriaceae.